UGCCAGCCGCCGCGGUAACACGGGGGGCGCAAGCGUUAUUCGGAAUUACUGGGCGUAAAGCGCGCGUAGGCGGCUUGGUCAGUCGGAUGUGAAAGCCCCGGGCUUAACCUGGGAAUUGCAUUCGAAACUGCUGAGCUAGAGUAUGGGAGAGGGAAGUGGAAUUCCUGGAGUAGCGGUGAAAUGCGUAGAUAUCAGGAGGAACACCAGUGGCGAAGGCGACUUUCUGGACCGGUUCUGACGCUGAGGAGCGAAAGCUAGGGGAGCGAACAGGAUUAGAUA
Molecule: ribosomal RNA, 279 nt
Filed under: uncultured bacterium
Lineage: Bacteria
Description: partial 16S ribosomal RNA
Rfam family: Bacterial small subunit ribosomal RNA
Source: RNAcentral